Molecule: ribosomal RNA, 479 nt
Filed under: uncultured bacterium
Lineage: Bacteria
Description: bacterial SSU rRNA
Rfam family: Bacterial small subunit ribosomal RNA
Source: RNAcentral
ACUCCUACGGGAGGCAGCAGUGGGGAAUAUUGGACAAUGGGCGAAAGCCUGAUCCAGCCAUGCCGCGUGUGUGAAGAAGGUCUUCGGAUUGUAAAGCACUUUAAAGUUGGGUAGGAAGGGCAGUAAGUUAAUACCUUGCUGUUUUGUACGUUACCAACAGAAUAAGCACCGGCUAACUUCGUGCCAGCAGCCGCGGUAAUACGAAGGGGUGCAAGCGUUAAUCGGAAUUACUGGGCGUAAAGCGCGCGUAGGUGGUUCAGCAAGUUGGAUGUGAAAUCCCCGGGGCUCAACCUGGGAACUGCAUCCAAAACUACUGAGCUAGAGUACGGUAGAGGGUGGUGGAAUUUCCUGUGUAGCGGUGAAAUGCGUAGAUAUAGGAAGGAACACCAGUGGCGAAGGCGACCACCUGGACUGAUACUGACACUGAGGUGCGAAAGCGUGGGGAGCAAACAGGAUUAGAUACCCCUGGUAGGAUAGCG